CAGCGGCGAUCUCUUAAAGUCCAACAACUUUGUAGAGGGUGUUUCUCACAAGAUCAGGUGUCAGAUCAAGGAGCUAGAGAGGGUUUCAGGAGUCAAGAACAGUUCUCUCACGGUGGAUGGAGUUCCAGUGGAUUCAUACCUCACUAGGUUUGUCUGGGAUGAAUCCUAGUUCCCCACAAUGUCUCCUUUGAAGGAGGUUAUCGACAGAAUUCAUGGUCAAGUUGCAAAGAUUGAGGAUGAUCUCAAGGUAAUGCUUUUUACCAAUUUUCAUUUACAUUCGGGUUUGGGUCAUUUUGGUCAUCCUCUUUGUUGUGACUUGUGAGGAGCUUUGUUGUUGUUGUUCUGAAAAGAGCAAA
Long non-coding RNA from Rosa chinensis, 356 nucleotides. RefSeq lists it as uncharacterized. The record is from RefSeq and is a predicted model, not a curated record. NCBI's taxonomy places the organism in Eukaryota, Viridiplantae, Streptophyta, Magnoliopsida, Rosales, Rosaceae. The transcript has 3 exons.